AGAUUUAUCCUGGCUCAGGACGAACGCUGGCGGCGUGCUUAACACAUGCAAGUCGAACGGUGAUGUCCCAGCUUGCUGGGACGGAUCAGUGGCGAACGGGUGAGUAACACGUGAGCAACCUGCCCUCCACUUCGGGAUAAGCCUUGGAAACGGGGUCUAAUACCGGAUAUGAGCCUGCAUCGCAUGGUGUGGGUUGGAAAGUUUUUCGGUGGGGGAUGGGCUCGCGGCCUAUCAGCUUGUUGGUGGGGUGAUGGCCUACCAAGGCGUCGACGGGUAGCCGGCCUGAGAGGGCGACCGGCCACACUGGGACUGAGACACGGCCCAGACUCCUACGGGAGGCAGCAGUGGGGAAUAUUGCACAAUGGGCGAAAGCCUGAUGCAGCGACGCCGCGUGAGGGAUGACGGCCUUCGGGUUGUAAACCUCUUUCAGCAGGGAAGAAGCGCAAGUGACGGUCCUGCAGAAGAAGCGCCGGCUAACUCGUCCAC
RNAcentral lists this ribosomal RNA (486 nucleotides) under Cellulomonas sp. 031-4.2-CV-A-01. RNAcentral's name for it is "bacterial SSU rRNA". It matches the Rfam family "Bacterial small subunit ribosomal RNA", at positions 10 to 509 of the family's 1533-position model. The record is from RNAcentral. Lineage: Bacteria; Bacillati; Actinomycetota; Actinomycetes; Micrococcales; Cellulomonadaceae.